RNAcentral lists this ribosomal RNA (863 nucleotides) under uncultured marine microorganism. Its description in RNAcentral is "bacterial SSU rRNA". It matches the Rfam family "Bacterial small subunit ribosomal RNA", at positions 627 to 1501 of the family's 1533-position model. The record is from RNAcentral.
UCAAAACUUUUUAGCUAGAGUAUGAUAGAGGAAAGCAGAAUUUCUAGUGUAGAGGUGAAAUUNGUAGAUAUUAGAAAGAAUACCAAUUGCGAAGGCAGCUUUCUGGAUCAUUACUGACACUGAGGAACGAAAGCAUGGGUAGCGAAGAGGAUUAGAUACCCUCGUAGUCCAUGCCGUAAACGAUGUGUGUUAGACGUUGGAAAUUUUUUUUCAGUGUCGCAGCGAAAGCGAUAAACACACCGCCUGGGGAGUACGACCGCAAGGUUAAAACUCAAAUGAAUUGACGGGGACCCGCACAAGUAGUGGAGCAUGUGGUUUAAUUCGAAGAUACGCGCAGAACCUUACCAACACUUGACAUGUUCGUCGCGACUUUAAGAGAUUAAAGUUUUCGGUUCGGCCGGACGAAACACAGGUGCUGCAUGGCUGUCGUCAGCUCGUGUCGUGAGAUGUUGGGUUAAGUCCCGCAACGAGCGCAACCCUCACUUUUAGUUGCCAUCAUUUAGCUGGGCACUCUGAAAGAACUGCCAGUGAUAAGCUGGAGGAAGGUGGGGAUGACGUCAAGUCCUCAUGGCCCUUACGUGUUGGGCUACACACGUGCUACAAUGGCAUCUACAAUAGGAAGCAAGAUGGCGACAUCAAGCAAAUCCUAAAAAGAUGCCUCAGUUCGGAUUGCACUCUGCAACUCGAGUGCAUGAAGCUGGAAUUACUAGUAAUCGCGGAUCAGCGCGCCGCGGUGAAUACGUUCCCGGGUCUUGUACACACCGCCCGUCACACCAUGGGAGUUGGUUCUACCUUAAGGCAAAGCUUAAAACCUUUGACCACGGUAUAGUCAGCGACUGGGGUGAAGUCGUAACAAGGUAACC